GAUGAAGAACGCAGCGAAAUGCGAUAAGUAGUGUGAAUUGCAGAAUUCAGUGAAUCAUCGAAUCUUUGAACACACAUUGCGCCCCUUGGUAUUCCAUGGGGCAUGCCUGUUCGAGCGUCAUUUGUACCUUCAAGCUUUGCUUGGUGUUGGGUGUUUGUCCCGAGGGACUCGCCUUAAAGUAAUUGGCAGCCAGUGUUUGGUUUUGAAGCGCAGCACAAGUCGCGAUUCAAGGCUACACGCCCGCUUCCACAAGCCUUUUUUCACUUUUGACCUCGGAUCAGGUAGGGAUACCCGCUGAACUUAAGCAUAUCAAUAAGCGGAGGA
Molecule: unclassified non-coding RNA, 324 nt
Filed under: soil metagenome
Description: partial contains 5.8S ribosomal RNA, internal transcribed spacer 2, and large subunit ribosomal RNA
Rfam family: 5.8S ribosomal RNA (bases 1-120)
Source: RNAcentral